Molecule: ribosomal RNA, 253 nt
Filed under: uncultured bacterium
Lineage: Bacteria
Description: partial 16S ribosomal RNA
Rfam family: Bacterial small subunit ribosomal RNA
Source: RNAcentral
UACGGGGGGGGCAAGCGUUGUUCGGAAUUACUGGGCGUAAAGCGCGCGUAGGCGGCUUUUCAAGUCAGACGUGAAAGCCUCAGGCUUAACCUGGGAACUGCGUUUGAUACUGUUAAGCUAGAGUGUGGAAGGGGCUACUGGAAUUCCGUGCGUAGCGGUGAAAUGCGUAGAUAUGCGGAGGAACACCAGCGGCGAAGGCGGGUAGCUGGGCCAACACUGACGCUGAUGCGCGAAAGCUAGGGUAGCAAACGGG